GUACCUUCAAGCCUUGCUUGGUGUUGGGCGUCUGUCCCGCCUCCGUGCGCGGACUCGCCUCAAAGUCAUUGGCAGCGGUCUCGUCGGCUUCUCGCGCAGCACAUUUGCGCUUCUCGGAGCCCCGGCGGAUCAGCGUCCAGCAAGCAAUUUCAUG
This 154-nucleotide unclassified non-coding RNA is filed under the name uncultured Periconia. RNAcentral's name for it is "sequence contains ITS2". The record is from RNAcentral. Lineage: Eukaryota; Fungi; Ascomycota; Sordariomycetes; Microascales; Halosphaeriaceae.